This 460-nucleotide ribosomal RNA is filed under the name uncultured bacterium. RNAcentral describes it as "partial 16S ribosomal RNA". It matches the Rfam family "Bacterial small subunit ribosomal RNA", at positions 338 to 795 of the family's 1533-position model. The record is from RNAcentral.
CCUACGGGUGGCAGCAGUGAGGAAUAUUGGUCAAUGGGCGGAAGCCUGAACCAGCCAAGUCGCGUGAGGGAAUAAGGCCCUACGGGUCGUAAACCUCUUUUGCCGGGGAGCAAGGGCGGGGACGUGUCCCGGCCCGGAGAGUACCCGGAGAAAAAGCAUCGGCUAACUCCGUGCCAGCAGCCGCGGUAAUACGGGGGAUGGGAGGGUUAUCCGGAUUUAUGGGGUUUAAGGGGUGCGUAGGCGGUCUUUUACGUCGGGGGUAAAAAUUCGGGGCUCAACCCCGUCCGGCCGUUGAAACUGGGGGCCUUGAGUGGGCGAGAAGAAGGCGGAAUGCGUGGUGUAGCGGUGAAAUGCAUAGAUAUCACGCAGAACCCCGAUUGCGAAGGCAGCCUUCCGGCGCCCUACUGACGCUGAGGCACGAAAGUGUGGGGAGCGAACAGGAUUAGAUACCCGGGUAGUC